Molecule: ribosomal RNA, 630 nt
Filed under: Triticum aestivum (bread wheat)
Lineage: Eukaryota; Viridiplantae; Streptophyta; Magnoliopsida; Poales; Poaceae
Description: partial small subunit ribosomal RNA
Source: RNAcentral
AUGUUAUUAGAUGAAAAAUAUUUAGCAUUCAAAGUUUUUUCUCCAAAUGUUUUUGUGUGUGCAACUAUGAUCUGUUCCUUGCAGCCAAGCCAAUGGAUAUAUUGCAGACGGCGGCAGGUGGUAGCAAUAGGGGUUGGCGGAUGCUCCGAGACCAUGAAGAGCCUAUUCAAUGAUGUGAAGCAUGACAUGGCGAAGGAGGAUCCCGAUAUGUUAGCCCCCACAAUCGCGCAGUUGGAGGGCAUGCACGAUCUCGGUAAAAUAAUGAAUUAUCAUCUCCCGCGUUUUCUCUCGAAGAUAAAGGUGUGCUCAGUCUGUACGAGCUCAAAGGCUGCUUCUUCUUUGUUCUGUUCAUCAAGAGGGAACAGCUAUUUCACUGUCUUGAGUGCAAACGACAGUCCAAACUUUUAUGGAACACCAUGUCAUGAUUCGUAUGACCAUCAUGGAGCAUCACACGUUCUGGUUGGGUUAAGAGCAUUGCCUUUGCAUCUUUGGACAUUCAAAACAGUAGAUCACCUGUUGCACCCAUGUGUGUCGUUGCUGAAAUUCACAAUAACUGUCUAUAUACCUAACCAUGUGAUUCAUAUAUACUUGUCAAACUUUCAUGCCACGCCACGGAUCAGUACUGGUUGA